UUUCUGAUGCUGAUAUUAUGACAGUGUGUGUUUGUGUGGGGGUCGUGUGAUGUAAUCUUUGAAAGUUUAUGACCGAACCUUUAUUGGGGAGCGACAAGAGAUCUCCCGGACUCAGUUUGGAUGGAGCAGAGCUGUUAUACUCGAGUCUAUUGGUAUGUAUGUGUUUCGCAGUGUUCGUUCCAGUAUUUUGUCUGAUUUAUUUAAAAACUAAAAAUUCGAUCUCUGGUAUUGCAGCGAAAUUGUCUAAACUGGUAUUAACUAUUCCUGGUAAAUCGCGGAGAAGAGUGGCCUGAACAAAAAAGUCAGCCCGAGACUAGAACCUCCCGCAGCGUAACAAGGAAAUCUUGGAACAAAAGAGACGCCGAGUGGAUCGUGUUGUGCGAUUGGAUAUCAGAGGCAAAGCGAGUAUUGUGUGUACUAUUGCAAAAAUAUAUAUAGCGGAUCUCCACGGCUAGGAUACAGACCACAACACUUUGGACGUAUCUUUAAAAAAGAGAAAAAUCAGAGACUUUUUGGAUUUGUCUGGGACAUUUUAAACAUUUUGUGGCAAAUUGGAUUUAAAACGUUUCGGAUACUGGAUACACGUGUUUGAUUUGUCCACAGAGCUUGUUUAAGACGUCUUC
Paramisgurnus dabryanus is the source of this 623-nucleotide long non-coding RNA. RefSeq lists it as uncharacterized. Lineage: Eukaryota; Metazoa; Chordata; Actinopteri; Cypriniformes; Cobitidae. The record is from RefSeq and is a predicted model, not a curated record.